This 232-nucleotide ribosomal RNA is filed under the name uncultured bacterium. RNAcentral describes it as "partial 16S ribosomal RNA". It matches the Rfam family "Bacterial small subunit ribosomal RNA", at positions 118 to 347 of the family's 1533-position model. The record is from RNAcentral.
UGAGCAAUCUGCCCUUCUCUUUGGAAUAAGCGUUGGAAACGACGUCUAAUGCCGAAUACGACCUCCUUUCGCAUGAUCGGAGGUGGAAAGCUCCGGCGGAGAAGGAUGAGCUCGCGGCCUAUCAGCUAGUUGGUGUGGGUAAUGGCCCACCAAGGCGACGACGGGUAGCCGGCUUGAGAGGGUGACCGGCCACACUGCGACUGAGACACGGCCCAGACUCCUACGGGAGCAG